RNAcentral lists this ribosomal RNA (428 nucleotides) under uncultured bacterium. RNAcentral's name for it is "bacterial SSU rRNA". It matches the Rfam family "Bacterial small subunit ribosomal RNA", at positions 355 to 775 of the family's 1533-position model. The record is from RNAcentral.
UGGGGAAUUUUGCACAAUGGACGAAAGUCUGAUGCAGCGACGCCGCGUGUGCGAUGAAGGCCUUUGGGUCGUAAAGCACUGUCGAUCGGGACGAAAACUGAAGUACUAAUACUAUUUCAGUCUGACGGUACUGAUAAAGGAAGCACCGGCUAACUCUGUGCCAGCAGCCGCGGUAAUACAGAGGGUGCAAACGUUGCUCGGAAUUAUUGGGCGUAAAGCGCGUGUAGGCGGCUUGUUAAGUUGGUCGUGAAAGCCCAUGGCUCAACCAUGGAAGUGCAACCAAUACUGGCAAGCUCGAGUUCUGAAGAGGAUGGCGGAAUUCCCAGUGUAGAGGUGAAAUUCGUAGAUAUUGGGAGGAACGUCGGAGGCGAAGGCGGCCAUCUGGGAAGUGACUGACGCUGAGACGCGAAAGCGUGGGUAGCAAACAG